CGCCAAUCGGACAGCUCCGGCCACGCCCCCGGGGCGCUAGCCCGCAGCCAAUGAGCAACUAGAGCCCGGCUGGGAGCUGCGCCGGCCAAUCACAGAGGCCGAGGACGCCUUGAAUCUCCGGGCAAGUUAAGUUUGUCUCCGAGGCUCCGAACUGAAGGGAGCUGGCGGGUUAGUUAGGUAGUGAAGUGGGAGGGAAUAUAGUUUGUGCUGCUCCGCCAAUAGGAGAAAGAGGGUGUGUUGUAUGCAAAUUAUCCCGGGGAGCCCAGCCCCUUAUCUAAGGCAGGCCACGCCCCCUUCCCUAGGUCCCUGCAGAAAUGGUGAGGAGGGUGAGAAAAAUAACUGGGAGCUAGAGCUCGCUAGCGGGUCUAAGACUGAGCUAAAAAUUUCCUGAUUUCUUGAGAAAGGUUGGGAAGGGAGGGGGAACUGAAACGUUCAUACCAUCAGGGCAGCGGUUAGGCUUUCUCUCAGCCACAAUCUUAGCUUAGCUGUAAGGAAGACUGCAGUCACGUAGCACUUUGCUUCCAGGGAUCUCAAAGAACUUUAUGCAUCAUUUAUCGUGACCCUUGUUUUACAAAAGACCAGUUACCUGAGGUUUGGGCGGGGGUUAGGGGAUAGAUGUUUGAGGUAUAUUUACACCAUUAAUCGAGUGAGGGGGAAAAAAGACAAAACCUCUGGUUUAGCGGUUUUCUCCUCGAUCUGAAGCCCCUUCUCGCAGUCAUCUCAGCAAUGAAACUUCCUUUAUUUGUCCAGCACGAGAGGGCCAAAGAAACAGGUUUAUCCUCUUCACCCAAAAGCCCUUUCUGAGACGGCUGGCCAGACACACACAGAGCACAGAGCCCUGCUUGGGAAGGAAGGUUCAGAGAACAAAUUGCCUUUUAAAACUGUUGGGCUGGACCUGCCUCUUCCAAAGCUAAAAAUGGUGAGUCAGGAUUUUGGCGUCCAUGCUCUGGGGAGAGAAGGCAGAUGUAAUUGGGGAAAGCUCUGGCUGGCAGGGUGUUGGGGUACAGGCGAGUUGGGGAGCCAGGUCUCCCAAGGGGGCCAGCAAUGCGCGUGCUAGUCGAUUGCGGGCUCCCGACGCGAGACACCCCAAAACCUGCUCCCCAGUGAGAACAAAGGCAGGCGCGGAGCGAGAACCUGAUUGGUGCCCGGUCCUCACCGGUGUCCUCCGGGCCCCGGAGAUAACUUGCUUCACCCACUGGCGCGGAGCUCCGUCUCACUGGAGCCCCAGCUCCCCACCCGGCCUUGGCUGUGACCACACAGGACUGUGCGUUAUGACAUCACCUGUUUUCGCUCUUUAGAACACGAUCAGUAUUCUCGGCUUCUCCUUUUUUAAAGGUCUCUAGUGCACAAGGAUUUGCGAAGGCCUGCCGUUCACAGAAUGAAUCUGUGGAGAUGAUUUAAAAGAACGUGCUUCAACAACAUCAUUCUACCCGGAUUCCAGAGUGAGAUCAGACUCAAGUCUGGCCACAUGGCACAAAUGGACAACCCAUACAUUUGGAGAGACUCCAAGAAAUCCAUCCGAAGCUCUGAAUGGUCCUGGCCCUGUUCCAAAAUUUUACUAACCUUCCACAAAUUGGGAUUCCAGACACGUUCUUACCUUGGCCUCCAGGAUAAUGGAAGCCACAAAAGAGACAGAAAUUAAAAUGUCAGCCCAGCUGGGCCCCACAAUGUGGGCCAGCAAUUACAGUGGAACCCACUGCCUCUUAGAUCACCUUAGUGCAGAACAUCUGUGUUUCCUGCAACAAAGAUAAUAAAAUAAUCCAGAGCCCUGUCUUACAUGUUCCUUAACUCUGCGUAAAUACAGUGCGCUACUUAACAAUAGCAACCAAGAUGUUAAUGCACAACAGGAAAAUGUUCAAAAUCAGGUGAAAAGCAGAGAUCAGAAUUCCAGCAAGCUUUGUAAUUCAGCCACCACCCUCAUCACUCAGGACCUAAAUAACCUGAAAUAUGUGAUCGAGGCUGGAGAGGCAAGUAAAACAUGGCUUUGUUAUUCUCUGCCUGAGAAGGGUAUCACCCAAACCUUCUCACUUACUAAAGAUUCUGACAGAUGAGUAGUAUGCCAUGUCCUUGCAGAUGGAGAAAAGAAUAUCCACAGCAAAGGUGACACCUUCGAGGUCAUACACUUUGUGGGAUCAUGACAGAAGUUCAAAACAUCAACUUGAAAAAGACAAGUGAAACUGAGGACCAAAGUUGGAAGUAUGGGUGACAGAAGGGAUUAAAUGGUGUGGGAAUGAAGACAUUGCCAAUCUCCUCACUUUCUCCUUUUUUAUUCUUGAUAGACCCCACCACUGACAGAAGCUGAAGUAAUCUGUUGUUUUCUGGGCUCUGAAGGUGCUGAUUUCAGUGUCUGUGAUGUUACAUCCGAGAGUCUUUGCUGGGUUUGAAACUGAGUGCUCCAAGCAAGUGGAUACCUUUUCUUCUUCUGCUAUCCCAGGGAAACACUGAGAUUAUUUCAGCAAAAAUAACGUUUCUGCCAAUCUGCAUCAUAACUCAGAGAGGCAGCUGGUCAAGUUAGCAAAGAAAACUGAUAUUUAGUCCUAAAGGAGCUUGGUUAAACUUUCGCUUUGUCUUUUUAUAUUUUGAUACAACAGUAUGGAGAUAGGUUAUCUUCUUACAGUAUUUGUCACCUGCUUUGUGAUUAUUUUUUUACUUGGAUGCCUUCUCCAUGAGAUUAUAUGCUUGAUAAGGACAGUUUUCCUCACCAUUGUAUCAUCAAUACAAUAAACAUUUUUGUUAAGAGAUGAAUAAAGAAAGUCAAUGCAGGGGGCCAGCCCAGUGGCAUAGUAGUUAAGUUUGUGCACUCUGCUUCCUCAGUCCAGGGUUUGUGGGUUCAGAUCCCAGGUAAGGACCUACACACCACUUAUCAAGCUGUGGUGGUGACCCACAUACAAAAGAGAGGAAGAUUAGCACAGACGUUAGGGCCAAUCUUCCUCACAAAUAAAUAAAUAAAAAGCUCCAUAUGAAGGGAGUGAUUAUGACUCUGUUCAUUCAUUCAAUAAAUAUUUAUUGAGCACCUACAAUAUACAGGCACAUCUUCUUUCCAGGCUUUAUGUUUAGACCAUUUUUUGAACUGUUUCUCAUGUCAUGGGAAUUCUGGACAAAUGCUGGUGUUCCUUCCUUAGAAGGACUCCACUGUGUUGAGGCGUCCCCCUUAAAAUACAGCUUCCAGAGCAGAGCAUGAUAACAUCCAUUCAUUAGUGUUACACAUUCUUGAAGUGCCAGCCAUGUGCCAGGCAUGAAGGUAACAGCGAUGAAUCAGAUACAGUUUUGUGCUCAGAGGACUCACUGCCCAGAAGGAGGAGGUUGCCCAGUAAACAAGAUAGUACAGCACAGGAAGCGACAGCAGAACCCGAAUGAUGGAAUGGCCAAUUCUCCUUGGAGAGGGGAAUCUGGAAAUGCUUCCCACACAGGGGAGGUGAAUCAGGAUAAGAGUGUGGACUUCUGACAGGUGGAUGGAGCUGGGAGAGGGUAUUCCAGAAAGAGUCAGCUGCCUGAGCAAAUGCAGGGAGGAAUGAAAUAGCCUAGUGAGUUCAAGGAACUGCAACGGCUUUGACAGGGCAGGAAUGUGGGUUGUGAGAUGGGGGUACAAAAGAGGUAUGACCAGAAAGUUAGGCAGGGUAGAGCUUUGAAUGCCAAACUGAGAAGCUUGGAUUUUUUUCCUACAAGGUGAUAAGGAGUCUCUAAUGUUUCUAGAGAAGGGAGAUAACACGAUUAGGUUUACAUUGUAGAAAGACACUUUGAAGGUGUGUGGCCUGGGGGCUGGACCUCUAGGAAACUGAGUCAGGGAGACCAGCUGAGAGACCAGAUCAUCUGGGUGAGAGAUGCAAUGGGAUUCCAUGUGGGCAAUAGCUGUGAGGAUGGAAAGAAGGGGAUGGUCUAAGGCAGUGAAGACUCAUGGGCAGGCUGUGCUGCAGGACUUGGCUACUCAAAGUGGG
This 3935-nucleotide long non-coding RNA is filed under the name Equus caballus (horse). RNAcentral's name for it is "lncRNA (ENSECAG00000043507.2)". The record is from RNAcentral. Lineage: Eukaryota; Metazoa; Chordata; Mammalia; Perissodactyla; Equidae.